Molecule: unclassified non-coding RNA, 161 nt
Filed under: Haemonchus contortus (barber pole worm)
Lineage: Eukaryota; Metazoa; Nematoda; Chromadorea; Rhabditida; Trichostrongylidae
Description: 28S-18S ribosomal RNA intergenic spacer
Source: RNAcentral
ACAUAAAUGUUGAUACAUAUAUGUAUAUACAUGUGGCAAUCGACAGAAGGGUAGUCAUUAGCGAUUAACACAAUUAUUCGUUGCGAAAAGGAAAACUUAUUUCAACCGUUCUAUAAUACAUACUUCACUCUACAUUAUGUUGAAAGAGGAGAUUUUGAUAC